CCGACACGGGUACGUGCUGCGUGCGCCGGGGCGUCCCCGCGGUCCCCUGCAUGCGCCGGGGCGUCCCCGCGUCCCUCCGGAGCGUCACCGGGAUCCCCUGCAUGCUCCGGGGCAUCCCUGGGUCCAUCCGGGGCGUCCCCGAGGUCCCCUGCAUGCGCCGGGGCGUCCCCGGGUCCCUCCGGAGCGUCACCGGGGUCCUCCGGCUGCUCCGGAGCAUCCCUGGGUCCAUCCGGGGUGUCACCGGGUCCCCUGCAUGCGCCGGGGCGUCACCGCGUCCCUCCGGAGUGUCACCGGGGUCCUCCGGCUGCUCCGGAGCAUCCCUGGGUCCAUCCGGGGCGUCACCGGGGUCCCCUGCAUGCGCCGGGGCGUCACCGGGUCCAUCUGGGGCGUCCCUGGGUCCAUCCGGGGUGUCACCAGGGUCCCCUGGCUGCUCCAGGGCAUCACUGGGUCCAUCCGGAGUGUCACCGGGAUCCCCUGGAUGCUCCGGGGCAUCCCUGGGUCCAUCCAGGGUGUCCCUGGGUCCAUCCGGGGUGUCACCGGGGUCCCCUGGAUGUUCCAGGACAUCCCUGGGUCCAUCCGGAGCAUCCCUGAAGUUCCCCAGCUGCUCCGGAGUGUCCCUGGGUCCAUCCGGGGUGUCCCUGAGGUCCCCCAGCUGCUCCGGAGUGUCCCUGGGCCCAUCCGGGGUGUCCCUGGGUCCAUCCGGGGUGUCUGCGGGGUUGCCCGGCUGCUCUGGAGCAUCCCUGGGUCCAUCCGGAGCAUCCUUGAGGUUCCCCGGCUGCUCCGGAGUGUCCUUGGGCCCAUCUGGGGUGUCCCUGGGUCCAUCUGGGUGUCCCCGAGGUCCCCCAGCCACUCCAGGAUGUCCCCGGGUCCAUCCGGGGUGUUUCCAGACCCCUCUGUCCCUCCCAGAGCAUCCCCGGAUGCCCCUGUCCCCUCCGGAGCCCUUCUGGAUGCCCUUGUCCCCCUAAUGUGUCCUCGGGUCCCUCCACGGUGUCCCCGGGUCUCCCGGCCCCUCCAGGAUCCCUCCGGGUGCCCCUUGUCCCCCCUCGGGAUGUUCCCAGGUCCCCCGGCCCCUCUGGAGCUUUCCUGGGUGCCCCUGUCCCCCUUGGGGUUUCUGUGGGUCCCCCGUCCCCUCCGGAGCUGCUCCGGGUGCCCCUGUCCCCCCUCGGGAUGUCCCCGGGUCCCCCA
RNAcentral lists this long non-coding RNA (1185 nucleotides) under Apteryx rowi (Okarito brown kiwi). RNAcentral's name for it is "lncRNA (ENSARWG00000007687.1)". The record is from RNAcentral. Lineage: Eukaryota; Metazoa; Chordata; Aves; Apterygiformes; Apterygidae.